RNAcentral lists this small RNA (89 nucleotides) under Arabidopsis thaliana (thale cress). RNAcentral describes it as "ATSL210840". The record is from RNAcentral. Lineage: Eukaryota; Viridiplantae; Streptophyta; Magnoliopsida; Brassicales; Brassicaceae.
CUCCGGGAUGGUUUGAUCCAAGUCGUUUCUGCUCAGGUUCAUGUAGUAGAGCCUUGGCAAAUUGUUGAGCGUUGGGGGUAUUUCGGAAC